Molecule: ribosomal RNA, 450 nt
Filed under: uncultured bacterium
Lineage: Bacteria
Description: bacterial SSU rRNA
Rfam family: Bacterial small subunit ribosomal RNA
Source: RNAcentral
GUAGGGAAUCUUCGGCAAUGGGGGGAACCCUGACCGAGCAACGCCGCGUGAGUGAAGAAGGUUUUCGGAUCGUAAAGCUCUGUUGUUAAGGAAGAACGAGUGUGAGAAUGGAAAGUUCAUACUGUGACGGUACUUAACCAGAAAGGGACGGCUAACUACGUGCCAGCAGCCGCGGUAAUACGUAGGUCCCGAGCGUUGUCCGGAUUUAUUGGGCGUAAAGCGAGCGCAGGCGGUUAGAAAAGUCUGAAGUGAAAGGCAGUGGCUCAACCAUUGUAGGCUUUGGAAACUGUUUAACUUGAGUGCAGAAGGGGAGAGUGGAAUUCCAUGUGUAGCGGUGAAAUGCGUAGAUAUAUGGAGGAACACCGGUGGCGAAAGCGGCUCUCUGGUCUGUAACUGACGCUGAGGCUCGAAAGCGUGGGGAGCGAACAGGAUUAGAAACCCCAGUAGUCC